This is a small nuclear RNA of Sorex fumeus (smoky shrew), 107 nucleotides long. The record is from RefSeq and is a predicted model, not a curated record. Lineage: Eukaryota; Metazoa; Chordata; Mammalia; Eulipotyphla; Soricidae.
ACCUGCUGUGCUAUGGGUCCAGCCCAAAACUGGAACAAUACAGAGAAGAUUAACAUGGCCCCCUGCACAAGGAUGACACACAAAUUCAUGAACUACUCCAUACUUUU